UAAAACUUAUAAAAGUUUAAUUACUACAACAAUGAUCUGAAUUAUUAUGGUAACAGUAGAUAUGCAGAAGAAGUAAGGAGUGUACGUGAUUAAUAGAAAUGCAGCAGUGCAUGCCAGGAAGCAGCUCAGUUGGGGCAGUGCUUGUCUAGCAAAGAUGAAGCCCAAAGGCCUGAGACCUAGCCCCGUGUAAAACUGGAGGUGGUGGCACGUUUCUGUCAUGCCAGCAUGUGGGAAGUGGAGGUAGAAAGAUCAGAAGUUCAAGAUCAUAUUAGUUUACAGAGGGAGUCAAGGGCCAGCUUGGGUUACAUGUGACCCUGUCUCAAAAAAAAAAAACAAAAAAACAAAAAAAACAAAAAAGACAAAAAAACAAAAAAACAAAAAAACCAAAUAACAAAGAUCAAAGACAGUUCAAGUUAAGAAUGGAAGUUCUAGAAACUUUGGGUGAGAUGAUGAUGAGAAGCUGCCUCAGGGCAAUUUAACAGAAGAGAUAGGCAAGGUAACAGAGAAUAGACCCUGCCCCAAGGAGAGAGCGAUCAGAACAUCAGAAAUCACAAAGCAAGAAGUAGCUUGCUCCAGGGAAUUUUAUUCAGCUAUAGAGAGUGAAAUUCUAACAUCUGCAAGGAAGUGGACAGACCUGGAGAUCAUUACAUUAAGUGAAAGAAGCCAGAUUACUGAAAGAUAUCAAGUGGGUUUUUUUUUUAAAUAUGUGGAAUAUAGAUAGAUGGAUAGGUGGGUGGGUGGAUUGAUGGAUGGAUGGAUAGAUAGAUAGAUAGAUAGAUAGAUAGAGUAUAGAAAGGGGACCAUGGAGGGAAGAAGUUUAAAGAGAGUGGGGAGUUGGGGAGUGAGAAAUUGUAAUAAAAUAUACACGUCAUAAAAGCUAACAGAUUACUGGGUGAAGG
This 899-nucleotide long non-coding RNA is filed under the name Mus musculus (house mouse). RNAcentral's name for it is "long non-coding RNA chr1:164333338-164334237". Lineage: Eukaryota; Metazoa; Chordata; Mammalia; Rodentia; Muridae. The record is from RNAcentral.